UGACAGAGCGAGAUUCUGUCUUAAAAUAAAAUAAAACAAAAUAAAAUAAAAUUACACUAGGCAAUGGCAACAGUGUAUGGACUUUAAAAUUAUAGAGAUCUGGAUUUUAAUCUCAGCUCUACCAUCUGUAAUCUUGCCAUCUUACACAUGUUAGAUAGCAUGUUAGAUAGUUUUUCUGAGUCUUAAAAUUUUCGUGUGUGUAAUGGAAUUUUAAAAGCAACUUUUUAUGGUAUUUGUAUAGAUUAAAAAGUACACACACAUACAUACACAUAAAUUAGUGUAUAAUGGCUUUAUAAAAACUAUCUGUCUGUCCUCUGAAGUAGCAAAAUUACUCGUGGUAGAAAUCCUCACUUUAUCUGUCCUUCAAACUACCAGAGUCAUCUGUUUGUACUAUGGCUCCUGAUUUGAGUUUGAGGUAAACAUGUCUGGGUAUACUUACUAUAGCAGGGCCAUCAAGAUUCUAGGGGUUGUGACAUGAGGAAAUACUGUUAUGGGCUAUAUUGUAUUCCCUCAAAAUUCUUAUUUUGAUGUACCAACUUCCCCUACCUCAGAAUGUGACUAUUUGGAGAUAAGAUAUUUAGAGAUAAUUAAGGUAAAAUGAGGUCGUUUGGGUAAGAUCUAAUCCAAUAUUACUGGUGUCUUUAUAAGAAGAGGAGAUUUAAGAUACAGACAACUUGACAGAGGGAUGAACACGUGAAGACAGAGAGAAGGUGGUCAUCUGCAAACAAGGAGAGAAGCUUCAGGAAAGUCAAACCUACUGAGAUUUUGACCAUGGAACUUCCAUCCUUCAAAACUGUCUCUCUACGUAUUAUUCAUAUGAUACUUCAAUGAGUAUGGGUACUGAAGGCCUCACAGCCAAACAGCAGAUCUCAUAGGAGAAAAAUUGGUUUUAAAGGCAAUACAGUAACACAGUGCUUAAGAGUGUGGACUCUGGAGCCAAACUGCUGGAUUCAACUUGGUAUGUGAUCUUCGGCAAGUUUCUUUCUCUACCUGUACUUCAGUUUUCCACAUCUGUAGGAUUUGGAAGGAUCUUAUAAUACUUGUAGAAUUGCUGUGAUAAUUGAAUGAGAUGGCAUAUGAAAUGAUCUUUGCAUAAUCUCUGGCUACAUAUGUCUAUGCUCUUAUGACAAUUAAUAACUCAUUCCUCUCUCUUCUUUUUUUUGCUCCUCCAGUGUUUUCCUUUCAUUUGCAACUGCUCCUGCUUGACAGAUUUUACUUAAUACCUUCUUUAUAUAUUUUUAGCUUUUUCCCUACCCCAUAUCCUGUCCUACUACCAGUAUGUCUUUAUUUAUCCAUCCCUUUAAAAUGAUUGAUCUUGAUUUAAUCACUAUCAUCCAUGUUUGGGAAAUGGUGGGUGGGGGGCAGACCUUGUUUCUCCAGUUUACUUCUGGUCUUUUGUAACUAAGAAGGCUAAGAUAUAUGGCUUCCCAUUAUAAACGUUACUGCAGAUUACCAAUAGGCUUCUCUCCAACGUGCCCACUACUCAGGAGUGACACACAUUAUCAGAAAUCUAAACAAAGAUUUUAAGUACUGAUUUUUUUACUCCUAUUACUUGAAAAAGACUAUGGCUAUGUUGGAGAUACCCCUUAAAGAAAGAAAUGUCAGAAAACUAAGAAAUAAAAGUGAAUAAAUAGGAAAUGAGAUUGAAAUAAAACAAAAUGUGAAAGCUGAUUUUUCCUCGGAAAAAGUAAGUUAUGUUUCCACAGCUGGAGGCUAAAAACAGCUGCAUUAUCUAUAGCCCAUUGAAUGGAGCUCAGUCAUUAAUAUUUUACUCAUGUACACACUUCAUUUUGAUGCAAUUUUCCUGUAUAACUAGCCAGAAUCAUUUGCAGGAUAUUUAACAAAAAUGAUGAAAAUACUCAGCUGCAUCUGUUCAUCAUUUGGCUAACCACAUUUUUGCAUAAAUUUAACAUGAGCUUAAGCCAUCACCAUUAUUUUUCUCAUCCUUUCUCUUCACCGUUGAAAUCUGAAUGCCAAAAUUUAUUAUUAUUCAGGUACGCAAUCACAGUACCAUCCUAGCAAUCAAGUCAAAAGCAGCAAAGCAAAAUUGAAAAAAUGUUUUCUAAAACUGCUGUCACGUACAAUACUUCCCUAAGACAACAACCAGUGGCUGUUGCAAUGACAAACAGCUUUAAUAAUGAAAAUAGACUCUCAGUUUUACCUACACAGAUGCAGUUUAAUUUUCUUCUUCCUUAUUAGAAUCCUCACUACCUCUCCUCCUCCACUCUGCCCCCAGUUGUAAGAAUGAGCUGGCAAACACAACAGUUCUAUUCAUUCUCAGUUUAAUACACAAUUUCUCAUAUACACAAAAGGGUGAAAUGGUUUCUAAAAACAUUGGCUGGUAAUGAUGACAGUAGAAUCUAAUUCCCUCAGGUGCUCACUUAAUACUUAUCUCUCUGCUGGAGAGUGUAAUAAGGUCGUCAGGAUUAUUGAAGUUGACAGGGCACCAGGCUCAGAUUAAUUACUUCAUAGAAUUCAGAAGGAAUUAGAAAAAGCAACAAUACUGCCUCUGGCAAAUGCAUAUAUUUUUUAUAGUUCUCUAAGGACUUUCAGUGUAAUAUAAUACAAAAGAGAGAAGAAUAGCUAAUGCAAUUGAUUUGUAGGUUUUGCUAUACAAAUUCUGAAAGAUUAUUCUGAGAACAAGAAAUCACCAUCCAUCAUAAUUUUAAAGAAAAACACUCAGAGUGGAAUACCUUAAAUACGUGAUGAAUAAUUGAAGGGUAAGUAAAAGGUACUAACGUGUGAAUCUUUCUCCUACCGUGUUCCAGAAAAUUUAUCUUCAUUGCAUCAUUUAAUUCUCGCAAACAUGCAAAAUAGAUGCUAUCCUUUAAAAAAAUGGACAGGUUGAAACAUGUUAAGGAUUUUUCCCAAAAUUUAGUAUCUAGUGAAUAGUUAGCAGCCUUUAAAUUUAUCUCCCAAAUCCCAAACUCUUUCCUCAAACAUAGGGAACACCAAUGAAUUGUUCUUGAAAACUGUCCUUGUUAGAUAGUGAAACACUCACAUGAAAAUCACAAGGAAAACACAUAUGAUUAAAGAAUAUGAGAACAAAAUUGGACAAUUAGAGGUUAACUAAAUUUAAAUGGACAAAGAGAAGGGACAUGAGGCCAAAGUUACUUCCCUGAAAUUCCUUGACACUUCCUGCUUAGGUGAAUAAUUCCAGGAACAACCCUAGCCACAUACUGAUAAUGACUAUUUGAAGACACACUGUAGCCUUUAGUCAAUCAUCUAUUAGCUUAUCACUGUUAACAAAUGGUAUUUGUAUGUGAACAGGCUGAUACUCCCUUGCUGUGUCUCCUCAUUUUGUCUUUAAAAAUCUGCUUAUAACUGCCCCAACUCACAGCAUUUCUAAAGAAACUUGGAAGUAUUUGUUGGGUUACUGCUCUGAAUUUUGGCCCAAAUAAACUCUCUACUUAAAUCAAUUUUGCCUCAGUUUCUUUCUUUAGGUUGACAUAUCCAUCUAUAUUGAGCACCUUCCUUAAAUAAUGCUAGAGACUUUAUAUAUAUUUAUUUCAUUAAAACAUAAGAAAUUUUAAGAGUUUGAUGAGUCACUUAUCAGCUUGGGGAGAUGUGACAAGUAAAUCUAAAAAGUGAAAAGAAAUGAUACAGCACAACCUACACCAUUACACUUACCAAAAACCAGAAACACAUCACUACUGCAGAUUUGAAAACGUAGAAUACACCUGGGUAUGGAAUAAACAAAAUGAAAAAGGCUUCUGGGUAACUAAAAUAGAUAUUAAAAAACAAUUGCUCCUCGGUUCAUGCAAUAUACUUGUAAAUGGUACUAUUUCUAUUGUCUGUAAUGAGGACUCACUGAGGCCACAAAGCUCAGGACAAAGGGUAAAAAGUACACAUCUGCAUUCCAAAGAAAGGUGCUUACACAUUCCAGAGGACUUAGUAAGAGGUGGUCAAUCAAUACCCAUUCUCAGUCUCCUUGUCUUACUAGAGACGAAGUUUCACCAUGCUGGCCGGGCUGGUCUUGAACUCCUGACCUCAAAUGGUCCACCUGCCUCGGCCUCCCAAAGUGCUGGGAUUAGAGGUGUGAGCCACUGCUCCCGGUCAACUUUGUAACCUUUUAAACAACUUUUUGACUCUUGUAAUAACAGCUUAAAA
Long non-coding RNA from Cercocebus atys (sooty mangabey), 4110 nucleotides. RefSeq lists it as uncharacterized. The transcript has 3 exons. The record is from RefSeq and is a predicted model, not a curated record. Lineage: Eukaryota; Metazoa; Chordata; Mammalia; Primates; Cercopithecidae.